GUGGAAAACUGCAGCAGGAUUCUGGUCUUCAUAUUUUAGCCUCCAACCUAGAGGGAUGCUAGGACAAAUAAUGUCUAUCCUUUUCACAGCUCAAGCUCCCCUUAUUCCCUUGCUGCUAUGUGAACAUGCUGGGAAAACAUCACCUGCUAAAUAAGAGCUCCGCACCCCCCACCCAAGUGCUGGACUGUCCCGAGGGAGUUUGACAGAAGAAUGGAGUCUAUGGGGAUGGAAGUUGGAAGUCCCUAAGUGUGUUCAUCCAUUUGCACGCCUGUUCUCAGAAGACCUUGGCAGGAAGUAGGAAAUGCCUAACUCCAUAAAACUGGUCAUCCGGUCUAUUCCCCUGCGAAAGGUAGAUUAUUCUGGGUAGCUGAACCCUACACGGACGCCAAAAUAAUGAGAGGUUCAAUGACUGAUAUAAGAAAGGAAGCCAAAUAAACCUAAAAGCAUGUCCAAAUUACUUCCACAAAGAAAAUGAAUCUGUUCAGAUAAUUGCCAGGAAAAAGUCUAAUGCUGGAUGAAGUAGUCGAUGCAAAACCUAGCUUUCCAUUUCCACCUUUGCCAGGCCUGAGUUUCAGUGGGACGAAAAUGAAAUAGGUGAAGGAAGAGAUAAGAGUUUCUCUGUGGCUUUCACCCCGGUACCAUCAGAGUGUGAGUCCUAUGUAGGCAAAGGUGUGUUUGUGUGAGA
Non-coding RNA from Pogona vitticeps (central bearded dragon), 685 nucleotides. NCBI's taxonomy places the organism in Eukaryota, Metazoa, Chordata, Lepidosauria, Squamata, Agamidae. The record is from RefSeq and is a predicted model, not a curated record.